This 420-nucleotide long non-coding RNA is filed under the name Equus asinus (donkey). Its description in RNAcentral is "lncRNA (ENSEASG00005031495.1)". Lineage: Eukaryota; Metazoa; Chordata; Mammalia; Perissodactyla; Equidae. The record is from RNAcentral.
AUUCAGGGGUGAGGCUCGAUUGCAGAGGGACCCAGGCCAGAGAUCAGGAACAGAGGCUCCAGGCAGAUUGGCGGCAGCAGCAAAAACAUCACAGGUCUAACAGCAGCUUCUCAUCAAGUUCAAGUCUUUAUCAUUAAAAUGCUUGAUUCUAAUAAACAGAAUUCUCCACUUGCUACUUCUGGUGAUGGGGCAGCCUGUUAGUUUUCAUCUUCACCUGCAUUUGACUUUGUGAGGCUGAAUCCUGACGUCUGGACCUUGACUUCCUGGGAAAGACAACUCACUCAUAGACAAAGGAGGGACAGAAAGACCUGCCCAGAGAAGAUGUUUUAACCUCUUUGUCCUCAGUUUCAAUCCCACUGUCUAAUCAUCAUUCCUCAAUCUUGGGGAAUAUGGGUGAAGACUGUUCUGGCUACUUCCUUC